Molecule: transfer RNA, 41 nt
Filed under: Tapinanthus constrictiflorus
Lineage: Eukaryota; Viridiplantae; Streptophyta; Magnoliopsida; Santalales; Loranthaceae
Description: partial tRNA-Phe
Source: RNAcentral
CGGGAUAGCUCAUUUGGUAGAGCAGAGGACUGAAAAUCCUC